This 465-nucleotide ribosomal RNA is filed under the name Vreelandella stevensii. RNAcentral's name for it is "partial 16S ribosomal RNA". It matches the Rfam family "Bacterial small subunit ribosomal RNA", at positions 338 to 795 of the family's 1533-position model. The record is from RNAcentral. Lineage: Bacteria; Pseudomonadati; Pseudomonadota; Gammaproteobacteria; Oceanospirillales; Halomonadaceae.
CCUACGGGUGGCAGCAGUGGGGAAUAUUGGACAAUGGGGGGAACCCUGAUCCAGCCAUGCCGCGUGUGUGAAGAAGGCCCUCGGGUUGUAAAGCACUUUCAGUGAGGAAGAACGCCUGGUGGUUAAUACCCAUCAGGAAAGACAUCACUCACAGAAGAAGCACCGGCUAACUCCGUGCCAGCGGCCGCGGUAAUACGGAGGGUGCGAGCGUUAAUCGGAAUUACUGGGCGUAAAGCGCGCGUAGGUGGCUUGAUAAGCCGGUUGUGAAAGCCCCGGGCUCAACCUGGGAACGGCAUCCGGAACUGUCAAGCUAGAGUGCAGGAGAGGAAGGUAGAAUUCCCGGUGUAGCGGUGAAAUGCGUAGAGAUCGGGAGGAAUACCAGUGGCGAAGGCGGCCUUCUGGACUGACACUGACACUGAGGUGCGAAAGCGUGGGUAGCAAACAGGAUUAGAUACCCUGGUAGUC